AAUAAAAUAUUCAAUCAAUCAAACAGUAACAUGUAGCUAUCUUUUGAUCCAGACGAUCUGACUGUGGAUGUGGGAUACUGGUUUAAAGGAAGCACCAAUCGUAAAGGUUACCUGACAGAAUUCUGUGAGCUCCAUGGAAGCGAGUAUUUGGAAAUACUUAUGCACGUUUCCAUUCGAUGGUUGAGCCUGGAGAGGUGUUUGACUCGUACCCUGCAGCAGUAUGAGCCACUGGCCAGCUACUUCAAGUCAUCAGAUGAGAAACAACCAAGGUUCAGGAGGCUGUUGGAAGCAUUCUCUAACCCAAUAACAGAGGUGUACCUGCUCUUCUAUCAAGCAACGUUGCCAGUCUUCUCCACCUUCAACCU
Molecule: long non-coding RNA, 365 nt
Organism: Gymnodraco acuticeps
Lineage: Eukaryota; Metazoa; Chordata; Actinopteri; Perciformes; Bathydraconidae
Exons: 3
Source: RefSeq, a predicted model, not a curated record